ACUCCUACGGGAGCCAGAUCUCAUCUCUGACUCCAGCUGCAGGCAGGCUUCGUCCGGACUCCUACGGGAGCCGAACUUCGUCCCCAACCUCAACUGCUGGAAGGUUUCACCCGGACUCCUACGGGAGCCAGAUCUCAUCUCCGACUCCAGCUGCAGGCAGGCUUCGUCCGGACUCCUACGGGAGCCGGACUUCGUCCCCAACC
RNAcentral lists this long non-coding RNA (203 nucleotides) under Elaeis guineensis (African oil palm). RNAcentral's name for it is "long non-coding RNA (EGUI_LNC033722)". Lineage: Eukaryota; Viridiplantae; Streptophyta; Magnoliopsida; Arecales; Arecaceae. The record is from RNAcentral.